UCAAGUUAUUAAGGGUGCAGGGCGAAUGCCUUGGCACUAGGAGCCGAUGAAGGACGUGAUAAGCUGCGAUAAGCUUCGGGGAGUUGCACGUAAACUUUGAUCCGAAGAUUUCCGAAUGAGGAAACUCACUUAGAGUAAUGUCUAAGUAUCGUAUGAUGAAUACAUAGUCAUGCGAGGGGAACCCGGAGAACUGAAACAUCUAAGUACCCGGAGGAAGAGAAAGAAAUUCGAUUCCGUAAAUAGCGUAUAGUACCGUGAGGGAAAGGUGAAAAGAACCCCGGGAGGGGAGUGAAAGAGAACCUGAAACCCUGCACUUACAAGCUGUAGGAGCACAUUAUUUGUGUGACUGCGUACUUUUUGUAGAACGGGCCAACGAGUUACGUUGUGUAGCAAGGUUAAGCACUUAAGGUGUGGAGCCGUAGCGAAAGCGAGUCUUAAAUGGGCGUCCAGUUACCCGACGUAGACCCGAAACCAGGCGACCUAUCCAUGAGCAGGUUGAAGCGAAAGUAAAAUUUCGUGGAGGACCGAACCCACGUACGUUGAAAAGUGCGGGGAUGACUUGUGGAUAGCGGUGAAAUUCCAAUCGAGCCUGGAGAUAGCUGGUUCUCCCCGAAAUAGCUUUAGGGCUAGCCUCAAGCUUAGAGAAACGGAGGUAGAGCACUGAAUGUCCUAGGGGGUAUUGCACUUACCGAAGACUAUCAAACUCCGAAUGCCGUAUUCUUUUGCUUGGGAGUCAGACUAUGGGUGAUAAGAUUCAUAGUCAAGAGGGCAACAGCCCAGAUCGUCAGCUAAGGUCCCUAAAUGUAAGUUAAGUGGUAAAGGAUGUGGAAUUGCACAGACAACCAGGAUGUUGGCUUAGAAGCAGCCACUCAUUUAAAGAGUGCGUAAUAGCUCACUGGUCGAGUGAUUCUGCGCCGAAAAUUUCCGGGGCUAAAACUUACUACCGAAGCUACGGCAUCAUUAUGAUGGGUAGGGGAGCUUUCUAUGCGGCUUGAAGCAUGACCGUAAGGACAUGUGGACUGCAUAGAAGUGAGAAUGUUGGCAUGAGUAGCGAGAUGUGGGUGAGAAUCCCACAGGCCGUAAACCCAAGGUUUCCAGGGGAAGGUUCGUCCGCCCUGGGUUAGUCAGGACCUAAGCCGAGGCCGAAAGGCGUAGGUGAUGGACAACAGGUUGAUAUUCCUGUACCACCAAUAACCGUUUGAGAAAUGGGAUGACACAGUAGGAUAAGCUAACCGCACUGUUGGUUAUGUGCGGGCAAGUAUUGAGGCAGUUCCGAUAGGCAAAUCCGUCGGAAUAAUGCUGGGGUACGAUGCGGAGCGAAAUUUAGUAGCGAAGUAGCUGAUUUCACACUGUCGAGAAAAGUCUCUAUCGAGGUUAAAGGUGCCUGUACCGCAAACCGACACAGGUGGGUGAGGAGAGUAUCCUAAGGCCAGCGAGAGAACUGUUGUUAAGGAACUCGGCAAAAUGACCCCGUAACUUCGGGAGAAGGGGUGCCUUCGAAAGAAGGCCGCAGAGAAUAGGCCCAAGCGACUGUUUACCAAAAACAUAGGUUUCUGCUAAGUCGCAAGACGAUGUAUAGGAGCUGACGCCUGCCCGGUGCUGGAAGGUUAAGGGGAUCUGUUAGAGCAAUCGAAGCAGUGAACUUAAGCCCCAGUAAACGGCGGCCGUAACUAUAACGGUCCUAAGGUAGCGAAAUUCCUUGUCGGGUAAGUUCCGACCCGCACGAAAGGCGUAACGAUUUGGGCA
RNAcentral lists this ribosomal RNA (1746 nucleotides) under human gut metagenome. RNAcentral describes it as "bacterial LSU rRNA". It matches the Rfam family "Bacterial large subunit ribosomal RNA", at positions 3 to 2015 of the family's 2925-position model. The record is from RNAcentral.